UACGGAGGAUGCGAGCGUUAUCCGGAUUUAUUGGGUUUAAAGGGUGCGUAGGCGGGUUAUCAAGUCAGCGGUAAAAUCGUGGAGCUCAACUCCAUCCAGCCGUUGAAACUGAUGAUCUUGAGUGGACGAGAAGUAUGCGGAAUGCGUGGUGUAGCGGUGAAAUGCAUAGAUAUCACGCAGAACUCCGAUUGCGAAGGCAGCAUACCGGCGCCCGACUGACGCUGAAGCACGAAAGCGUGGGUAUCGAACAGG
This 252-nucleotide ribosomal RNA is filed under the name uncultured bacterium. RNAcentral's name for it is "partial 16S ribosomal RNA". It matches the Rfam family "Bacterial small subunit ribosomal RNA", at positions 524 to 776 of the family's 1533-position model. The record is from RNAcentral.